AUGAAGAACGUAGCGAAAUGCGAUAAGUAGUGUGAAUUGCAGAAUUCAGUGAAUCAUCGAAUCUUUGAACGCACAUUGCGCCCUUUGGUAUUCCAAAGGGCAUGCCUGUUCGAGCGUCAUUUGUACCCUCAAGCUUUGCUUGGUGUUGGGCGUCUUGUCUCUAGCUUUGCUGGAGACUCGCCUUAAAGUAAUUGGCAGCCGGCCUACUGGUUUCGGAGCGCAGCACAAGUCGCACUCUCUAUCAGCAAAGGUCUAGCAUCCAUUAAGCCUUUUUUUCAACUUUUGACCUCGGAUCAGGUAGGGAUACCCGCUGAACUUAAGCAUAUCAAUAAGCGGAGGA
Molecule: unclassified non-coding RNA, 340 nt
Filed under: soil metagenome
Description: partial contains 5.8S ribosomal RNA, internal transcribed spacer 2, and large subunit ribosomal RNA
Rfam family: 5.8S ribosomal RNA (bases 1-119)
Source: RNAcentral